AAAUGCCUUGCGGGUGCUAUACAUGCAGUCGAACGAGUUCUCGUUGAUGAUCGGUGCUUGCACCGAGAUUCAACAUGGAACGAGUGGCGGACGGGUGAGUAACACGUGGGUAACCUGCCCUUAAGUGGGGGAUAACAUUUGGAAACAGAUGCUAAUACCGCAUAGAUCCAAGAACCGCAUGGUUCUUGGCUGAAAGAUGGCGUAAGCUAUCGCUUUUGGAUGGACCCGCGGCGUAUUAGCUAGUUGGUGAGGUAAUGGCUCACCAAGGCGAUGAUACGUAGCCGAACUGAGAGGUUGAUCGGCCACAUUGGGACUGAGACACGGCCCAAACUCCUACGGGAGGCAGCAGUAGGGAAUCUUCCACAAUGGACGCAAGUCUGAUGGAGCAACGCCGCGUGAGUGAAGAAGGCUUUCGGGUCGUAAAACUCUGUUGUUGGAGAAGAAUGGUCGGCAGAGUAACUGUUGUCGGCGUGACGGUAUCCAACCAGAAAGCCACGGCUAACUACGUGCCAGCAGCCGCGGUAAUACGUAGGUGGCAAGCGUUAUCCGGAUUUAUUGGGCGUAAAGCGAGCGCAGGCGGUUUUUUAAGUCUGAUGUGAAAGCCCUCGGCUUAACCGAGGAAGCGCAUCGGAAACUGGGAAACUUGAGUGCAGAAGAGGACAGUGGAACUCCAUGUGUAGCGGUGAAAUGCGUAGAUAUAUGGAAGAACACCAGUGGCGAAGGCGGCUGUCUGGUCUGUAACUGACGCUGAGGCUCGAAAGCAUGGGUAGCGAACAGGAUUAGAUACCCUGGUAGUCCAUGCCGUAAACGAUGAAUGCUAGGUGUUGGAGGGUUUCCGCCCUUCAGUGCCGCAGCUAACGCAUUAAGCAUUCCGCCUGGGGAGUACGACCGCAAGGUUGAAACUCAAAGGAAUUGACGGGGGCCCGCACAAGCGGUGGAGCAUGUGGUUUAAUUCGAAGCAACGCGAAGACCUUACCAGGUCUUGACAUUCUUUGAUCACCUGAGAGAUCAAGCUUCCCCUUCGGGGGCAAAUGACAGUGUUGCAUGUUGUCGUCAGCUCGUGUCGUGAAAUGUUGGUUAAGUCCCGCACGAGCGCAACCCUUAUGAACUAGUUGCAGCAUUUAGUUGGCACUCUUAAGUUAGGACUUGUC
Molecule: ribosomal RNA, 1151 nt
Filed under: Lacticaseibacillus paracasei
Lineage: Bacteria; Bacillati; Bacillota; Bacilli; Lactobacillales; Lactobacillaceae
Description: bacterial SSU rRNA
Rfam family: Bacterial small subunit ribosomal RNA
Source: RNAcentral